CAGGGAUUGCCUCAGUAACGGCGAGUGAAGCGGCAACAGCUCAAAUUUGAAAUCUGACCCCUUUGGGGCCCGAGUUGUAAUUUGUAGAGGGUGUUUCGGGCGCGGCGCCGGUCUAAGUUCCUUGGAACAGGACGUCAUAGAGGGUGAGAAUCCCGUAUGUGACUGGCGACCAAGCCCAUGUGAAGCCCCUUCGACGAGUCGAGUUGUUUGGGAAUGCAGCUCAAAAUGGGUGGUAAAUUUCAUCUAAAGCUAAAUAUUGGCCAGAGACCGAUAGCGGACAAGUAGAGUGAUCGAAAGAUGAAAAGCACUUUGGAAAGAGAGUCAAACAGUACGUGAAAUUGUUGAAAGGGAAGCGCUUGCAAUCAGACCGGUCCGGGGGCGAUCAGCCGCUGCUCGUCAGCGGUGCACUCGCCCUCGAUCCGGCCAGCAUCGGUUUGGGCGGCGGGAAAAAAGGCCCGGGAAUGUAGCUUCUUUCGGGGAGUCUUAUAGCCCGGGUCGUCAUGCCGCCCGCCCGGACCGAGGACCGCGCUUCGGCUAGGAUGCUGGCGUAAUGGUUGCAAGCGACCCGUCUUGAAACACGGACCAAGGAGUCUAACAUCUAUGCGAGUGUUUGGGUGUCAAACCCAGGCGCGGAAUGAAAGUGAACGGAGGUGGGAACCCUCGGGCGCACCAUCGACCGAUCCAGAUGUCUUCGGAUGGAUUUGAGUACGAGCAUAGCUGUUGGGACCCGAAAGAUGGUGAACUAUGCCCGGAUAGGGUGAAGCCAGAGGAAACUCUGGUGGAGGCUCGCAGCGGUUCUGACGUGCAAAUCGAUCGUCAAAUCUAGGCAUAGGGGCGAAAGACCAAUCGAACCAUCUAG
RNAcentral lists this ribosomal RNA (859 nucleotides) under Pseudocyphellaria cf. intricata FH-2008. Its description in RNAcentral is "LSU rRNA". It matches the Rfam family "Eukaryotic large subunit ribosomal RNA", at positions 69 to 947 of the family's 3401-position model. Lineage: Eukaryota; Fungi; Ascomycota; Lecanoromycetes; Peltigerales; Lobariaceae. The record is from RNAcentral.